GGAAUAAGGUGAUCUAAACCUCGGCAUGUUCUUAUAAACAAGACAAAUAAAGGUUGAGGAAUCAUCCUGGUGGUGGCUGCCAGAGGCUUUCUCUUUUCAUGUUAGUGAAUACCUCAGCUCUAGUAGUUUGCCAACAUCACUAUUUAAAUGUUCCUGAGAGUUAUAGAACCGGUGGCGUCGGCUCCAGAUUCCUAUGGGAGAGAAACCACACACUCCUUGUUAAAGUGUUACUCAUUAAUGGAUGUGGCAGAGUGAAUGAUGGACAAUCCUCCCAAAGAAGGUGAUGGCUUUUUUUAUACACCAUUGUUAAGCCUACGUGCUGAUGAGGAGAGGCAACUGGAAAGAGAUGACCAAGAGGGCCAGGAUGGAUUGAUGAGGAUUGAGUGUCCAUGUAUAAACUUAAUUAUCACCAAGUG
Non-coding RNA from Peromyscus maniculatus bairdii (prairie deer mouse), 416 nucleotides. The record is from RefSeq and is a predicted model, not a curated record. NCBI's taxonomy places the organism in Eukaryota, Metazoa, Chordata, Mammalia, Rodentia, Cricetidae.